UAGGGAAUCUUCCACAAUGGACGAAAGUCUGAUGGAGCAACGCCGCGUGAGUGAUGAAGGUUUUCGGAUCGUAAAACUCUGUUGUAAGGGAAGAACACGUACGAGAGGUAAUGCUCGUACCUUGACGGUACCUUACGAGAAAGCCACGGCUAACUACGUGCCAGCAGCCGCGGUAAUACGUAGGUGGCAAGCGUUGUCCGGAAUUAUUGGGCGUAAAGCGCGCGCAGGCGGCCUUUUAAGUCUGAUGUGAAAGCCCCCGGCUCAACCGGGGAGGGCCAUUGGAAACUGGAAGGCUUGAGUACAGAAGAGAAGGGUGGAAUUCCACGUGUAGCGGUGAAAUGCGUAGAGAUGUGGAGGAACACCAGUGGCGAAGGCGACUCUUUGGUCUGUAACUGACGCUGAGGCGCGAAAGCGUGGGGAGCAAACAGG
This 429-nucleotide ribosomal RNA is filed under the name Acidobacteriota bacterium. RNAcentral describes it as "Acidobacteria bacterium partial 16S ribosomal RNA". It matches the Rfam family "Bacterial small subunit ribosomal RNA", at positions 355 to 776 of the family's 1533-position model. Lineage: Bacteria; Pseudomonadati; Acidobacteriota. The record is from RNAcentral.